Molecule: ribosomal RNA, 445 nt
Filed under: uncultured bacterium
Lineage: Bacteria
Description: partial 16S ribosomal RNA
Rfam family: Bacterial small subunit ribosomal RNA
Source: RNAcentral
GUGAGGAAUAUUGGUCAAUGGGCGAAAGCCUGAACCAGCCAUGUCGCGUGAAGGAUGAAGGUCCUAUGGAUUGUAAACUUCUUUUGCAGGAGGGUAAAGUGAGCUACGUGUAGUUCAUUGCAAGUACCCUGCGAAUAAGCAUCGGCUAACUCCGUGCCAGCAGCCGCGGUAAUACGGAGGAUGCGAGCGUUAUCCGGAUUUAUUGGGUUUAAAGGGUGCGUAGGCGGACUAAUUAGUCAGCGGUGAAAUUUUGCGGCUCAACCGUAAAACUGCCGUUGAAACUGUUAGUCUUGAGUGCGGUAGAGGUAUGCGGAAUGUGUGGUGUAGCGGUGAAAUGCUUAGAUAUCACACAGAACACCGAUUGCGUAGGCAGCUUACUGGAGCGCAACUGACGCUGAGGCACGAAAGCGUGGGGAUCGAACAGGAUUAGAAACCCCUGUAGUCC